CCUACGGGGGGCAGCAGUGAGGAAUAUUGGUCAAUGGGCGAGAGCCUGAACCAGCCAAGUAGCGUGAAGGAUGACUGCCCUAUGGGUUGUAAACUUCUUUUAUAUGGGAAUAAAUUGUUGCACGUGUGCACUUUUGUAUGUACUAUAUGAAUAAGGAUCGGCUAACUCCGUGCCAGCAGCCGCGGUAAUACGGAGGAUCCGAGCGUUAUCCGGAUUUAUUGGGUUUAAAGGGAGCGUAGGUGGGUUGUUAAGUCAGUUGUGAAAGUUUGCGGCUCAACCGUAAAAUUGCAAUUGAAACUGGCAGUCUUGAGUACAGUAGAGGUAGGCGGAAUUCGUGGUGUAGCGGUGAAAUGCUUAGAUAUCACGAAGAACUCCGAUUGCGAAGGCAGCUUACUGGACUGCAACUGACACUGAGGCUCGAAAGUGUGGGUAUCAAACAGGAUUAGAUACCCCUGUAGUC
This 460-nucleotide ribosomal RNA is filed under the name uncultured bacterium. RNAcentral describes it as "partial 16S ribosomal RNA". It matches the Rfam family "Bacterial small subunit ribosomal RNA", at positions 338 to 795 of the family's 1533-position model. The record is from RNAcentral.